AGUGAACGCUGGCGGUAGGCCUAACACAUGCAAGUCGAACGGCAGCACAGUAAGAGCUUGCUCUUACGGGUGGCGAGUGGCGGACGGGUGAGGAAUACAUCGGAAUCUACUUUUUCGUGGGGGAUAACGUAGGGAAACUUACGCUAAUACCGCAUACGACCUACGGGUGAAAGCAGGGGAUCUUCGGACCUUGCGCGAUUGAAUGAGCCGAUGUCGGAUUAGCUAGUUGGCGGGGUAAAGGCCCACCAAGGCGACGAUCCGUAGCUGGUCUGAGAGGAUGAUCAGCCACACUGGAACUGAGACACGGUCCAGACUCCUACGGGAGGCAGCAGUGGGGAAUAUUGGACAAUGGGCGCAAGCCUGAUCCAGCCAUACCGCGUGGGAGAAGAAGGCCUUCGGGUUGUAAAGCCCUUUUGUUGGGAAAGAAAAGCAGCAGGUUAAUACCCCGCUGUUCUGACGGUACCCAAAGAAUAAGCACCGGCUAACUUCGUG
RNAcentral lists this ribosomal RNA (492 nucleotides) under uncultured bacterium. RNAcentral's name for it is "partial 16S ribosomal RNA". It matches the Rfam family "Bacterial small subunit ribosomal RNA", at positions 29 to 507 of the family's 1533-position model. The record is from RNAcentral.